This 850-nucleotide ribosomal RNA is filed under the name uncultured bacterium. Its description in RNAcentral is "bacterial SSU rRNA". It matches the Rfam family "Bacterial small subunit ribosomal RNA", at positions 666 to 1533 of the family's 1533-position model. The record is from RNAcentral.
AUUCCAAGUGUAGCGGUGAAAUGCGUAGAUAUUUGGAGGAACACCAGUGGCGAAGGCGGCAUACUAGAUCGAUACUGACGCUCAGUCACGAAAGCGUGGGGAGCAAAUAGGAUUAGAUACCCUAGUAGUCCACGCUGUAAACGUUGAGAACUAAGUGUCGGGGAGACCCGGUGCUGAAGCUAACGCAUUAAGUUCUCCGCCUGAGGAGUACGCACGCAAGUGUGAAACUUAAAGGAAUUGACGGGGGCCCGCACAAGCAGUGGAGCAUGUGGUUUAAUUCGAUGCUACGCGAAGAACCUUACCAGGACUUGACAUGCCGCUAAAGACCUUAGAAAUAAGGGGAUAGUUAUAGCGGACACAGGUGGUGCAUGGUUGUCGUCAGCUCGUGUCGUGAGAUGUUCGGUUAAGUCCGGCAACGAGCGCAACCCUUGUCCUUAGUUGCCAGCAUUAAGUUGGGGACUCUAAGGAGACCGCCGGUGUAAACCGGAGGAAGGUGGGGAUGACGUCAAAUCAUCAUGCCCUUUAUGUCCUGGGCGACACACGUGCUACAAUGGCCGUUACAAAGAGCAGCAAAACCGCGAGGUCAAGCAAAUCUCAUAAAGACGGUCUCAGUUCGGAUUGGAGUCUGCAACUCGACUCCAUGAAGUCGGAGUUGCUAGUAAUCGUAGAUCAGCCAUGCUACGGUGAAUACGUUCCCGGGCCUUGUACACACCGCCCGUCAAACCAUGAAAGCUGGUAAUACUCGAAGUCGGUAUCCUAACUUUGCAAAAAGAGGGAGCCGCCCAAGGUAGGAUCAGUAAUUGGGGUUAAGUCGUAACAAGGUAACCCGAAAGGGCGAAUCGUAACUCGC